ACCAAGUUCGGAGGUGAUGAUCCGUGAUUCCCAAUCUGGGCACCAAGGGAAACGGGGAGCCAGUGGUGCAACCGGCCGAACCCAAA
Molecule: non-coding RNA, 86 nt
Organism: Meiothermus ruber DSM 1279
Lineage: Bacteria; Thermotogati; Deinococcota; Deinococci; Thermales; Thermaceae
Source: Rfam